RNAcentral lists this long non-coding RNA (212 nucleotides) under Vigna radiata. Its description in RNAcentral is "long non-coding RNA (VRAD_LNC010294)". The record is from RNAcentral. Lineage: Eukaryota; Viridiplantae; Streptophyta; Magnoliopsida; Fabales; Fabaceae.
CGCUAAACCAAACUAAUCAAAACUGUGGGUCAAACCUAGUUGCCCCAACCCAAGUCACAGACCAAACAAGCCCUCCAACAUGGAAAUAGGAAAUAAAUCCCCAAGUGCCGUAACUAGGGUUUGAAGCGAUGCCCUUCACGUGCAGGACCAGGCUCUACACCACUCAACCAACACACCCAAAUUAAUAUAUAGUGCAAAACCCAAUAGAUAUA